UGCGUAUGGUGCAAGCGUUAUCCGGAUUUACUGGGCGUAAAGGGAGCGCAGGCGGCGCGCCAAGUCUGAUGUGAAACCCCGGGGCUCAACCCCGGGCAUGCAUUGGAAACCGGCGGGCUGGAGUGCCGGAGAGGUAAGCGGAAUUCCUAGUGUAGCGGUGAAAUGCGUAGAUAUUAGGAGGAACACCAGUGGCGAAGGCGGCUUACUGGACGGCAACUGACGCUGAGGCUCGAAAGCGUGGGGAGCAAACAGG
Molecule: ribosomal RNA, 253 nt
Filed under: uncultured bacterium
Lineage: Bacteria
Description: partial 16S ribosomal RNA
Rfam family: Bacterial small subunit ribosomal RNA
Source: RNAcentral